GUGGGGAAUAUUGGACAAUGGGGGGAACCCUGAUCCAGCCAUGCCGCGUGUGUGAAGAAGGCCUUUUGGUUGUAAAGCACUUUAAGUGGGGAGGAGGCUUACCUGGUUAAUACCUGGGCUAAGUGGACGUUACCCACAGAAUAAGCACCGGCUAACUCUGUGCCAGCAGCCGCGGUAAUACAGAGGGUGCGAGCGUUAAUCGGAUUUACUGGGCGUAAAGCGCGCGUAGGUGGUUAAUUAAGUCAAAUGUGAAAUCCCCGAGCUUAACUUGGGAAUUGCAUUCGAUACUGGUGAGCUAGAGUAUGGGAGAGGAUGGUAGAAUUCCAGGUGUAGCGGUGAAAUGCGUAGAGAUCUGGAGGAAUACCGAUGGCGAAGGCAGCCAUCUGGCCUAAUACUGACACUGAGGUGCGAAAGCAUGGGGAGCAAACAGGAUUAGAUACCCGGGUAGUCC
Molecule: ribosomal RNA, 451 nt
Filed under: uncultured bacterium
Lineage: Bacteria
Description: partial 16S ribosomal RNA
Rfam family: Bacterial small subunit ribosomal RNA
Source: RNAcentral